This 773-nucleotide ribosomal RNA is filed under the name uncultured Neocallimastigales. RNAcentral's name for it is "partial large subunit ribosomal RNA". It matches the Rfam family "Eukaryotic large subunit ribosomal RNA", at positions 24 to 632 of the family's 3401-position model. Lineage: Eukaryota; Fungi; Neocallimastigomycota; Neocallimastigomycetes; Neocallimastigales. The record is from RNAcentral.
UAUGUGAUCGUCUCUCGCAUAUCAAUAAGCGGAGGAAAAGAAACUAACAAGGAUUCCCCUAGUAACGGCGAGUGAAGCGGGAAGAGCUCAAAUUUGAAAUCUUAAAGGGUUUCCCUUUACGAAUUGUAGUUUAAAGAAGUGUUUUCUGUUGAGGUUUUGGUAAAAGUUCUUUGGAAUAGGACAUCAUAGAGGGUGAGAAUCCCGUAUUUGACCUUUACUUUCAACUUUGUGAUACACUUUCAAAGAGUCGGAUUGUUUGGGAAUGCAGUCCAAAAUGGGUGGUAAAUUUCAUCUAAAGCUAAGUAUUGGCGAGAGACCGAUAGCGAACAAGUACCGUGAGGGAAAGAUGAAAAGAACUUUGAAAAGAGAGUUAAACAGUACGUGAAAUUGUCAAAAGGGAAGCGUUUGACACCAGUGUUGUUUUUCUGAAAAUCAAUUAAAGAACUGUUUAUGCUAAGUUGUUUAGACUUUAUCAGCUAACUGUUUAGUUUUGAGCUUUUCUUUAAUGCACUUUUCAGUUAACAAGUCAACAUCAAUUUCUUUUGCUGUAAAAAAGCUUGAGGAAGGUGGCUUGAGAUUCGUCUUAAGUGUUUAUAGCCUCUUGCCUAUGCAGUCGGAGAGAUUGAGGUCUGCAGCGUAGAUCCUUCGGGGCUAAAUGCAUUUGUGCUAAGUUAUAGCAUUUUAUAGACAACUUGUUGACUAUGAUUUGUCUUGUAGCUUACUCGCUUAUGUUAUUUUACCUACGCUUAGGAUGUUGAAGACUCUACAGAGAU